AUGCAAGCCGAGCGGUAUUUGUCUUUCGGGACAGAGAGAGCGGCGUACGGGUGCGGAACACGUGUGCAACCUGCCUUUAUCUGGGGGAUAGCCUUUCGAAAGGAAGAUUAAUACCCCAUAAUAUAUUGACUGGCAUCAGUUGAUAUUGAAAACUCCGGUGGAUAGAGAUGGGCACGCGCAAGAUUAGAUAGUUGGUGAGGUAACGGCUCACCAAGUCUACGAUCUUUAGGGGGCCUGAGAGGGUGAUCCCCCACACUGGUACUGAGACACGGACCAGACUCCUACGGGAGGCAGCAGUGAGGAAUAUUGGACAAUGGGUGCAAGCCUGAUCCAGCCAUCCCGCGUGAAGGAUGACGGCCCUAUGGGUUGUAAACUUCUUUUGUAUAGGGAUAAACCUAGAUACGUGUAUCUAGCUGAAGGUACUAUACGAAUAAGCACCGGCUAACUCCGUGCCAGCAGCCGCGGUAAUACGGAGGGUGCAAGCGUUAUCCGGAUUUAUUGGGUUUAAAGGGUCCGUAGGCUGAUGUGUAAGUCAGUGGUGAAAUCUCACAGCUUAACUGUGAAACUGCCAUUGAUACUGCAUGUCUUGAGUGUUGUUGAAGUAGCUGGAAUAAGUAGUGUAGCGGUGAAAUGCAUAGAUAUUACUUAGAACACCAAUUGCGAAGGCAGGUUACUAAGCAACAACUGACGCUGAUGGACGAAAGCGUGGGGAGCGAACAGGAUUAGAUACCCUGGUAGUCCACGCCGUAAACGAUGCUAACUCGUUUUUGGAUUUUCGGAUUCAGAGACUAAGCGAAAGUGAUAAGUUAGCCACCUGGGGAGUACGUUCGCAAGAAUGAAACUCAAAGGAAUUGACGGGGGCCCGCACAAGC
This 872-nucleotide ribosomal RNA is filed under the name Chryseobacterium sp. RNAcentral's name for it is "bacterial SSU rRNA". It matches the Rfam family "Bacterial small subunit ribosomal RNA", at positions 55 to 930 of the family's 1533-position model. Lineage: Bacteria; Pseudomonadati; Bacteroidota; Flavobacteriia; Flavobacteriales; Weeksellaceae. The record is from RNAcentral.